GUGGACGCCAGUCUGCAUGGAGCCGACCUUGAAAUACCACCCUUUAAUGUUUGAUGUUCUAACGUGGACCCGUGAUCCGGGUUGCGGACAGUGUCUGGUGGGUAGUUUGACUGGGGCGGUCUCCUCCUAAAGAGUAACGGAGGAGCACGAAGGUUGGCUAAUCCUGGUCGGACAUCAGGAGGUUAGUGCAAUGGCAUAAGCCAGCUUGACUGCGAGCGUGACGGCGCGAGCAGGUGCGAAAGCAGGUCAUAGUGAUCCGGUGGUUCUGAAUGGAAGGGCCAUCGCUCAACGGAUAAAAGGUACUCCGGGGAUAACAGGCUGAUACCGCCCAAGAGUUCAUAUCGACGGCGGUGUUUGGCACCUCGAUGUCGGCUCAUCACAUCCUGGGGCUGAAGUAGGUCCCAAGGGUAUGGCUGUUCGCCAUUUAAAGUGGUACGCGAGCUGGGUUUAGAACGUCGUGAGACAGUUCGGUCCCUAUCUGCCGUGGGCGCUGGAGAACUGAGGGGGGCUGCUCCUAGUACGAGAGGACCGGAGUGGACGCAUCACUGGUGUUCGGGUUGUCAUGCCAAUGGCACUGCCCGGUAGCUAAAUGCGGAAGAGAUAAGUGCUGAAAGCAUCUAAGCACGAAACUUGCCCCGAGAUGAGUUCUCCCUGAGACUUUAGGUCUCCUGAAGGAACGUUGAAGACGACGACGUUGAUAGGCCGGGUGUGUAAGCGCAGCGAUGCGUUGAGCUAACCGGUACUAAUGAACCGUGAGGCUUAACCUUACAACGCCGAAG
RNAcentral lists this ribosomal RNA (779 nucleotides) under Salmonella enterica. RNAcentral describes it as "partial 23S ribosomal RNA". It matches the Rfam family "Bacterial large subunit ribosomal RNA", at positions 2164 to 2925 of the family's 2925-position model. RNAcentral also lists the same sequence under 2 other names. Lineage: Bacteria; Pseudomonadati; Pseudomonadota; Gammaproteobacteria; Enterobacterales; Enterobacteriaceae. The record is from RNAcentral.